Molecule: ribosomal RNA, 1424 nt
Filed under: metagenome
Description: bacterial SSU rRNA
Rfam family: Archaeal small subunit ribosomal RNA
Source: RNAcentral
UCCCGUUGAUCCUGCGGGAGAGUGCUGCUAGUAGGAUUCGAUUUAGCCAUGCAAGUCAGGUAGCAAUACCGGCAAAAUGCUCAGUAACACGUCAAUAAUCUGCCCUUAGGUCAGGGAUAAGCUUGGGAAACUAAGCGUAACACCUGAUAGGGAAACAGGACUGGAAUGUCCGUUUUCUUAAACUCGUGCCUAAGGAUGAGUUGGCGGCGGAUUAGCUUGUUGGUGGGGUAAUGGCCCACCAAGGCGAAGAUCCGUACGGGCCUUGAGAGAGGUAGCCCGGAGAGGGAAACUGAGAUACUGUUCCCAGCCCUACGGGGUGCAGCAGGCGCGAAACCUUCACAAUGCACGAAAGUGUGAUGAGGGGAUCCUACGUGCUCAUGCUUAGCAUGGGCUUUUGUUGAAUGUAAGGAGUUCAGCGAAUAAGGGGUGGGUAAGACUGGUGCCAGCCGCCGCGGUAACACCAGCGCCCCGAGUGGUGCUCGCGAUUAUUGGGCCUAAAGCGUUCGUAGCCGGUUUGAUAAAUUCCUUGUGAAAUCGUCGUGCUUAACACGACGGCGUGCAGGGAACACUGUCAAACUUGGGACCGGGAGGAGUCUGAGGUAUGCCCUGGGGACUGGUAAAAUGGGAUAAUCCAGGGUAGACCGCCGAUGGCGAAGGCAUCAGACCAGAACGGAUCCGACGGUGAGGAACGAAAGCCAGGGGAGCGAACCGGAUUAGAUACCCGAGUAGUCCUGGCCGUAAACGCUGUGAGCUAGGUGUUGCCCCUCCCACGAGGAUGGGCAGUGUCGAAAUGAAGAUGUUAAGCUCACCGCCUGGGAAGUACGGUCGCAAGACUGAAACUUUAAGGAAUUGGCGGGGGCGCACCACAAGGGGUGGAGCGUGCGGUUUAAUCUAACUUUACACAGAGAACCUUACUAGAAGCGACGGCAGGAUGAAGUCCAGGCUGAAGACCUUGACCGACGAGCCGAGAGGUAGUGCAUGGUCGCCGUCAGCUCGUGCCGUAAGGUGUCCAGUUAAGUCUGGUAACGAGCGAGACCUGUGCCCACAGUUGCUAACAGCGCAUGCGGACUGAGCACACUGUGGGGACUGCCUUCGUAAGAAGGAGGAAGGUGCAGGCGACGGUAGGUCUGUAUGCUCCGAAUCUUCUAGGCUACACGCGCGCAACAAUGGUACGGACAAUGGGCUGCGACACCGAAAGGUGGAGCUAAUCCUCUAAACCGUAUCUUAGUCCAGAUCGAGGCUUGUAACUCAGCCUCGUGACGCUGGAAUCCCUAGUAAUCGGCUUUCAUCAAAUGCCGGUGAAUAUGUCCCUGCGCCUUGCACACACCGCCCGUCAAACCAACCGAGCAGGGUUUCGGUAAAAUCAUGCCUUUUAGUGUGAUUGAAUCGGAGCUCAGUGAGGUGGGUUAAGUCGUCACAAGGUC